Molecule: ribosomal RNA, 440 nt
Filed under: uncultured bacterium
Lineage: Bacteria
Description: partial 16S ribosomal RNA
Rfam family: Bacterial small subunit ribosomal RNA
Source: RNAcentral
CCUACGGGAGGCAGCAGUAGGGAAUCUUUCACAAUGGGCGAAAGCCUGAUGGAGCAACGCCGCGUGCAGGAUGAAGGCCUUCGGGUUGUAAACUGCUUUUAUAAGCGAGAAAUAUGAUGGUAACUUAUGAAUAAGGAUCGGCUCACUACGUGCCAGCAGCCGCGGUCAUACGGAGGAUCCGAGCGUUAUCCGGAUUUAUUGGGGUUAACGGGAGCGUAGAUGGGUUGUUAAGUCAGUUGUGAAAGUUUGCGGCUCAACCGUAAAAUUGAAAUUGAUACUGGCAGUCUUGAGUACAGUUGAGGUAGGCGGAAUUCGUGGUGUAGCGGUGAAAUGCUUAGAUAUCACGAAGAACCCCGAGUGCGAAGGCAGCUUACUAAACUGUGACUGACAUUGAUGCUCGAAAGCGUGGGGAGCAAACAGGAUUAGAUACCCUAGUAGUC